CAUGUUCCAAAGGAAACGCAAAAACAUCAUAAAUGGGAGGAAGAAUAACCACUACAUUGAGAAAUAUUUUCCAGGUUUGUUUGUAGUGUGUCUGCCU
Molecule: long non-coding RNA, 97 nt
Organism: Dipodomys spectabilis (banner-tailed kangaroo rat)
Lineage: Eukaryota; Metazoa; Chordata; Mammalia; Rodentia; Heteromyidae
Exons: 5
Source: RefSeq, a predicted model, not a curated record